This 257-nucleotide long non-coding RNA is filed under the name Ananas comosus (pineapple). Its description in RNAcentral is "long non-coding RNA (ACOM_LNC028393)". Lineage: Eukaryota; Viridiplantae; Streptophyta; Magnoliopsida; Poales; Bromeliaceae. The record is from RNAcentral.
AUCAAACCAUCCCAAAUUUGCCACCAUCUCGCUCUGUUUUAUUUGUUUAUUUAUUUAUUUAUUUUUUGAGAGAUAGGUAGCACGCUAUCCGCUUUGUUUAUUUUAUUUAAAAAUAAACUUAGCUGGAAAUGUGAAUCAACUAGUAUUCGAAUUUGGGUCUCGGAUACCAACCACCAAGCCCUUUGCCACUUGCUCUAGGGACGGUCGGUCUCGCUCUGUUUUAUUAUGUUCCGUCUCAGCAUCUGUCUCAUUUGCAU